Molecule: unclassified non-coding RNA, 300 nt
Filed under: uncultured Vishniacozyma
Lineage: Eukaryota; Fungi; Basidiomycota; Tremellomycetes; Tremellales; Bulleribasidiaceae
Description: sequence contains 5.8S rRNA gene, ITS2
Rfam family: 5.8S ribosomal RNA (bases 1-98)
Source: RNAcentral
GCAGCGUCAGAUGUGUAUAAGAGACAGGUGAGUCAUCGAAUCUUUGAACGCACCUUGCGCCCUUUGGUAUUCCGAAGGGCAUGCCUGUUUGAGUGUCAUGAAACCUCACCCCACUUGGGUUUUUGCCCGAGCGGUGGUGGAUUGGGUGUUUGCCGUCACUGGCUCGCCUUAAAAGUAUAAGCAACCUUGGAUGUAAUACGUUUCAUCCUUCUGGGUGGCUGAUAACCAACCAUAACUCAUGAUCUGGCCUCAAAUCAGGUAGGGCUACCCGCUGAACUUAAGCAUAUCAAUAAGCGGAGG